UCCCCGUUACCGGGGCAGUCUGAUUAGAAAAAUUCAACUAAUCAUAAGGGUUGCGCUCGUUGAAGGACUUAACCUAACAUCUCACGACACGAGCUGAAGGCGGCCAUGCAACACCUGUCACUAGGUUCCCGAAGGCACUCUCGACUUUCAUCAAAAUUCCUAGGAUGUCAAACCCUGGUAAGGUUCUUCGCUUACCAUCGAAUUAAACAACACGCUCCACCGCUUGUGCGGGUCCCCGUCAAUUCCUUUGAGUUUUAGUCUUGCGGCCGUACUCCCCAGGCGGGGCACUUAAUGCGUUAGCUUCGGCACAGGAGGAGUCGACACCUCCCACACCUAGUGCCCAUCGUUUACGGCGUGGACUAC
Molecule: unclassified non-coding RNA, 363 nt
Filed under: uncultured bacterium
Lineage: Bacteria
Description: contains 16S-23S intergenic spacer region
Source: RNAcentral